Long non-coding RNA from Halichondria panicea, 2961 nucleotides. RefSeq lists it as uncharacterized. Lineage: Eukaryota; Metazoa; Porifera; Demospongiae; Suberitida; Halichondriidae. The transcript is spliced from 6 exons. The record is from RefSeq and is a predicted model, not a curated record.
ACCAUGAACCUCUUUUAGAUUUCUUCUGUUGUAAUAACGCAUCUGUUGGCUGAUUGUAUGCUCCAUAUCCACUGAUCUUUCGAAGACUACGGAGUCAGUGUGUUCACUUGAACAGGUAGAAUGCUCAACUUUAUCGGGGACAGACAAAACAUCUCUGUGUUUUCAAUACACAUGAGAUAUAAAUGAUGAGCAUUUGGAAUAGGUAGCAGUGCAUUCACUAAUUCCACAUGCCAUACUAAAAUCAUCGUCAUUGCUGUGGACACCACGUAUGUGACUAAGCCAAAGAUUUCUAUUAGGAGAAAUAAAGUUGCAUAGGGGGCAGUUGAGAAAGCUUGACAUAGCUUGACAUAGUGUUGUACUGUUGAUUCACAAGACAGAGGUGCUGGGUUCGAACCUUGCAUGCUUCUUAUUUAUUCAUGCGGUUCAGCCUCGAAUCUAACCCUAGAAUGUGGUCACGUGAUUUAGAUUGACCAUGUGCUUUUUCUUCUUUGAAUAUGGAUAGGGAUACAAGGAUAGGGACACAAGCACAGCUGAAAAGCCUUUUAAAGAUUGGCAUAUCUCUAACUGGCUCAGUGAAAAUGGGCUUCCAUUGUCUGUCUGCGACAUAUUUGAAGAUGAGUUAAUUGAUGGUUCGGCUUUUGUGGAGUUGAGUGAGGCUGAUGUGAGGUCAAAUGGACAAGUGAAAAGAAUAAUUCGCCUCGUAAAUUCCAUGACGUCUGACAAGGUUAGCCUGGAUGAUACCCAUGUGGACGACAUUCCCAAUACCAGUACUCCAACUCGGUACAAACACCCCUUAACUUCUCUCUCAAUCUUGGAGCAUCGAUUCACGCUCAUCUACUCCCACUUUUUCAGAUAUUUCAUCUUCUUCAAGGCGAGAAUUCUGCAUUCCCCAUACCCCAUACGAGCAUACGAGUAUUAUGUCAGCUAUUUUUGAGAAAACUUUGAACUGUGAGGUUAGAAAUGAGAUCGUAAGAGACUUAGUAACCCAUGUGUACUCAUACAUUGAAAAACCUACAUCUGCUUUUGUGGAGAGUGUUGCCAAGAAGCUGGUGGAUAAGUACUCAUUUAUGGGUGACUUCGGAAACAUGCCACAUGGUUCCUGGCAGAAAAAGAUGAUGGAUCGCGUGUACAACGUUGAAAAAGGUCGGAAGCGCAAAUCAUCUGAAGAUGAUGAUUUACCUCGAAGUGUGCUGCAAUAACCAAUCGUUACCCUCCACUUUCAGUGGAUAACUCUGAUAUCACAACAGAGAAAGAAGCGCUUGAUAAAGAGUUCGAGAAAGAAAAACCGAGGCGAGAUGUAGUAUUGGACCUCAUGAAAAGCACUUACUACUCUCGACGCAAAUAUCUCUUACAUGAUAUUGGCUCUGUUUCAUCUAAAGUAGCCAAGUACCCUGCUUUUAAAAUGCCUUCAGUGAUUGAGCAAGAAAUGGAUCUUGUUAUGAUCAAGCAAAAUGUCUACCGCACCUUCACUGGCAAGGAAGUGCUUACAGCAGGGGCUCAAAACGCAAAGAUAUUAAAGCUUUGAUGUCUGAACAAGGUAUUGUAUCAAUCUUACCCACUGUUUUAUUUUAGCAAUUGAGGAAAAUAGACUUGCUAUGAUGUGUCUCUUCCACUUGCUCUGUAUUGUGCCCAAGAAAAAGGAUAAAUGUGGAGAGUUCAGCGUGUUGUUGAAAGAAUAUGCCAUGGUUGAUGACCCUGACGUCGAAGCAACGAAAUCAGUGAAAGGACCUCACAUUGGAAGAUUCAUUCCAGAGGAUGGCGCUUCUUGUUCUUGGAGGAUUUUGUACUGUGUAAAGUGAAAGACUGGUUUUUCCCUAUUCUAUAUAUUUCAUCUUUCAUACCCCCCAAAUAUUUUUGAUGUGUGCUUGUUUUUGCAAGAAUUUGUUUUUGGCAUUCCUGAACCUUGUGGUCUGAAGAGUUCUACGUAUAGAUCCGAUAUUCAGAACAUUACUUUCAAUUAAUUAAACCCUUCCAACUGUGAUAUAAAUAUAAUAAUUAGAUGACAUUAUUAUAAUUAUUUGUUGAAAUAAAAAAUUUGUUAAAAUGUGACAGGGCCAAUGAAAACAGACCUUAACGCGGCAAUAAUUAAAUUAAGCUAUAGGCCGAUUUAGUAGAAAUGAAAGACAUGGGCAAAAAAAUUUUUUUUUACAGGUGCUACCUACCUGUAAAAAUUUGGGUCUCUACGAAGCUUUAAACAGGUCAAGCGCGGACGUUGAAGAAACUCACCGAACGUACUGUGUACGUGAGGGGAAAUUCCCUGGGAAUUUCCCUAUUAUUGUUAAUUAUUUUUAUCAAAUAAAAGAUGACAACUUGUACAAGACUAUUUCAUCAGCCCAGUACUUACGGUGCCUUCAUACAAUAUUGUUUGUGUACAUAAUAGUGAAUGUCUGUAAACAAUCGCUAAUUAGUUGGGGGUGGUCAGUUGCUAGGUAACGAUGAUGAUGUCAUGGCUACCUAACUACUAACUGGGCUACCUGUAGGAAAUACUUACGAGUGAUUUCAAUGUAUGGUUCAUAAGAUAUGGAUUUUUAAAGAAAAACAUGUAUUUAUUCUGUAUUUUCUUGUUUUAAUUAAAGGGUUAAACUUUCAUUAUGGUGACUUUAACCUUUUGUUCUGUAGGAUUCAAAGGAUUCAAAGUGAUCGGAAAGAUGUUAACACUGACUGGGAUGCGUAAUAUACAUGCCGUGUAACUAUCGUUGUAAUUAUUCCAAUACACAUUUUCAACUUAAACUUUUGAAUGAAAUGCGAUGUGUUUAUAACCGUUUUUGAGGUGUGAUUUGAACGGAUGAUAGUUUUUCAUUUCUGAUGGUUGAAUGAAUGUAAAACUGCUUCAAUCUGCUUCAAUCAAAGGGUUGUGUAUUCUUGUGCUCUAAAAAAUAUUAUGUUAUCCGUGCCAACAGUCACUACAAUGAUGUCAGUCAAAGACUGGAACUUGCCAGUCCACUAGGCUCUUUUUUGAAA